This 241-nucleotide ribosomal RNA is filed under the name uncultured bacterium. RNAcentral's name for it is "partial 16S ribosomal RNA". It matches the Rfam family "Bacterial small subunit ribosomal RNA", at positions 79 to 334 of the family's 1533-position model. The record is from RNAcentral.
UUCGGGUGCGAGUAAAGUGGCGGACGGGUGAGUAACGCGUGGGAAUCUGCCUAGUAGUGGGGGGAUAACAAUCGGAAACGGUUGCUAAUACCGCAUACGCCCUACGGGGGAAAGGCUUUGGCCGCUAUUAGAUGAGCCCGCGUAAGAUUAGCUUGUUGGUGGGGUAAUGGCCUACCAAGGCAACGAUCUUUAGCUGGUCUGAGAGGACGAUCAGCCACACUGGGACUGAGACACGGCCCAG